AGCAGCCGCGGUAAUUCCAGCUCCAAUAGCGUAUAUUAAAGUUGUUGCAGUUAAAAAGCCCGUAGUUGAACUUCGGGGUUUACCCAUUGGUCAGGCUUAAUUGUCUGUACUGGUGAGAUAAAUCUCUACCUUCUGAGGAACUUUCAUGCCAUUUAUUUGGUGUGAUUGGAAAUCAGGACUAUUACUUUGAAAAAUUAGAGUGUUUAAAGCAGGCUAACGUCUGAAUAUAUUAGCAUGGAAUAAUGAAAUAGGACGGCUUGGUUCUAUUUCGUUGGUUUCUAGGAUCACCGUAAUGAUUAAUAGGGAUAGUUGGGGGCAUUAGUAUUCAAUUGUCAGAGGUGAAAUUCUUGGAUUUAUUGAAGACUAACUACUGCGAAAGCAUUUGCCAAGGAUGUUUUCAUUAAUCAAGAACGAAAGUUAGGGGAUCGAAGACGAUCAGAUACCGUCGUAGUCUUAACCAUAAACUAUGCCGACUAGGGAUCGGACGAAGUUAAUUUUAUAAUGACGCGUUCGGCACCUU
This 520-nucleotide ribosomal RNA is filed under the name uncultured Diversispora. RNAcentral's name for it is "SSU rRNA". It matches the Rfam family "Eukaryotic small subunit ribosomal RNA", at positions 569 to 1089 of the family's 1831-position model. The record is from RNAcentral. Lineage: Eukaryota; Fungi; Glomeromycota; Glomeromycetes; Diversisporales; Diversisporaceae.